GGGCUUGACCGGUUUUGACAGCGGGCAGAAGUGGUUUGUAAGCAUGCAGUGCGCUAUUAUUCAGCACUAUAAUCUCGGAUAAUGAACAAUUAAUUGGCGAAAAUACUUACGCGCUCGCAGCCUGAUCGAAGCAUAGUAGAUCUUGGCUUAAUCCUUACACAAGGUGUUUGGACGGGCUAUCACCCGGAAGCUCUGGCUUCGAAGCAGUCCGAGAAGGUGGUACAGGAAAUAUCGAAGUUGGUUUGAAAGCGGCCUUGGCUUUCAGACGAGAUAAAGAGGCUAAGUUCGUCGUUGGUGGCUUCGGUCUUGCGGCGGAUCGAAAAAUGAAGCGAAGAUAAGCAUGUAGAAAGCAGAUUAAUUCCUCGUUUGGACGAGGGUUCGACUCCCUCCAGGUCCACUA
Molecule: transfer-messenger RNA, 400 nt
Filed under: Dysgonamonadaceae bacterium
Lineage: Bacteria; Pseudomonadati; Bacteroidota; Bacteroidia; Bacteroidales; Dysgonomonadaceae
Rfam family: transfer-messenger RNA
About the family: Bacterial tmRNA, also known as 10Sa RNA or SsrA, is named for its dual tRNA and mRNA-like properties. Its role is to liberate the mRNA from a stalled ribosome.
Source: RNAcentral